UACAUGGGGUGCAGACGUUGCUCGGAAUCAUUGGGCGUAAAGCGCGCGUAGGCGGUUACUUAAGUUGAAUGUGAAAGCCCUCGGCUUAACCGAGGAAGUGCAUCCAAAACUGAGUAGCUAGAGUACGAAAGAGGGUCGCGGAAUUCCCGGUGUAGAGGUGAAAUUCGUAGAUAUCGGGAGGAACACCGGUGGCGAAGGCGGCGACCUGGGUCGAGACUGACGCUGAGGCGCGAAAGCGUGGGGAGCAAACAGG
This 253-nucleotide ribosomal RNA is filed under the name uncultured bacterium. RNAcentral describes it as "partial 16S ribosomal RNA". It matches the Rfam family "Bacterial small subunit ribosomal RNA", at positions 524 to 776 of the family's 1533-position model. The record is from RNAcentral.